AUGCCUUUCUCCGGAAGCCCCCGCAUCCUGCUUUCUGCUGAACCCAAGCACAUCGGGCCGCCCAUCCCAGCUGCAGCACACAGACAACCUGACCCGACAGGCUGGGCUGAAUCACCAGCCCCCUCAGCUAGAAAUAGCCCUCCAAGAAAUGUGCGGUGGCUACAUGUCCACCGGGAGGGGAGGAGGCCGGGCAGGGGGGCCAAGGAGUCCCAGGACCCCGAGAUAACACGGGCCCGGAUGUGCGGCAUCCCAAACGCGGUGGACUGGCCUGGGUCACAGGCUCCAAGGAGAAUCCUCAGGCGGUAGAGAAUGAGAUGGUUGGAUGGCAUCACUGACUCAAUGGACUUGAAUCUGAGCAANNNNNNNNNNNNNNNNNNNNNNNNNNNNNNNNNNNNNNNNNNNUCCAUGGGGUCGCAAAGAGUUGGACACGACUUGGCAACUGAACAACAACAGCAACAAAUAUUGAGAAUCCUUAUUCAAAAGCUGGCUACCCCAAUCCAUCCCAUGCUCCCUUCCCCGCUUGGUUUCCAUGUUUGUUCUCUAUGUCUGUGUCUCUCGUGCAAAUAAGAUCAUUUAUACCGUUUUCCUUUUACUGGCUUACUUCUCUCUGGAUGACAUUACUCUAGAGUCAUCCCUGUCUGACUGGGACUGACAUGUAUACACUAUCGAUACUGUGUAUAAAAUAGAUAACUAAUGAGAACCUACUGUACAGCCCAGGGAACUCUACUCAGUGCUCCGAGUGACCUAGAUGGGAAGGAAAUCCCAAAGGGAGGGAAUAUAUGUAUAUGUACAGCUGAUUCACUUUGCUGCAUAGCAGAAACUAACUCAGCAUUGGAAAGCAACUAGAUUCCGAUAAAAAUUAAUUUUAAAAAAUAAAUAAAUAAAUAAAAUCUUUUGUUUUUAUGCAAAAACAUAUAAAGUCUUAUCUCAAAAUAAACUCUCAUCUCAAAAACAAGCUGUGUUGCCCCAUUCCCUCCCCCAUACCCCCAGGCCCACCUCUCCCCGCUUCCCC
RNAcentral lists this long non-coding RNA (1012 nucleotides) under Capra hircus (goat). Its description in RNAcentral is "lncRNA (ENSCHIG00010004483.1)". Lineage: Eukaryota; Metazoa; Chordata; Mammalia; Artiodactyla; Bovidae. The record is from RNAcentral.